Aphis gossypii (cotton aphid) is the source of this 1585-nucleotide long non-coding RNA. RefSeq lists it as uncharacterized. NCBI's taxonomy places the organism in Eukaryota, Metazoa, Arthropoda, Insecta, Hemiptera, Aphididae. The transcript has 4 exons. The record is from RefSeq and is a predicted model, not a curated record.
CGUGUUUCGUAGCCAAAGUUCGCGAGACCGACGUGUAUUGUCGAUGCGAACCAGAACAAAACUACAGAAUUACAUAACGGUUACUUCUUUGUCGAACUCACGAUCAUCUAUCUACCCAUGUGCAUAAUAUAUAAACAAAUAUUAUAAACGACCAGGACCAGUAUCACGUCAUGUUAUAAUUAAACACGGUAUAACACAUUAACAGAGGAAAAUAAUUAAAAGGAUAUGAUUAUCAUAAUACCUAUGCAUAUAACUAUAUAAAUAUAUUUGUUUGGUCUAGUAAUCUGACUAACCUUAUAACUUAUUAGUCAUAGCUAUCCAAAGCUAGGCACCAGCUAAUUAGAAAGUUAAGGUUAAUAUAAGUUAUUAUUGUAAUUUUUUUUUUUUUUAUUAAAUCAAAAAAUGUCCUGUAAUCUUGACAUUUUAUUUGUUAUCAAUUAAUUUUCUUUAAAUCAUCUGUUAUAUUAUACAUGCACGCGCGGUAACCACGGCUUUAGCCUGCAGAUAUAAUUUAUAUCUUGUAUUAUUACUUACUUAUUUAGACCAUUUGAUCAAAUUGCCAGUUGUUUAAUAAUUUUAUUUUUCAAUCAUUAUAAAUACCUACUUAAAAUUUACAUAUUAAUCAAGUUUUUAUAUUUAUAUUUUAAACUAUAAAAAAAAAAAAUUACUUCUAACUUCUACUUUAACUUAGCUACUAUUUUAAACAAACUAUAACUUCUAAUUAACUAAAAUAAAAAAUUUGUAAACUUUCAAAAACUUAUUUCUAUUCUAACUUACUUAGUUUUAAUAUAAAAGUAAUUUAAUCUGAAAUAGAUGAAAAAAAUGGCUAACUCGCCCAGAUUUAUAGCUAUAAUCGCUAUAACAAUUAUGGAUACAGUUAAUCUUGCAAUUUUUAAAGCACAAAAUAUGCACUUAUAAUAAAUUCAAACAGAAUCUACCAUAUUAAUAAAAUAAAGUUAAAGAAAUGCAAUACACAUACCUACGCUUCGAAAACCAUUAAAGGAAAUAAUUGUCAAAAGAAAAGAAUAUCAAGCUUUUGAAUAUUGAUCAUCCUGAUAAAUACUGAUAACAAUUAUUGUUGAAUUACCUACAUUGAAUUCAUUGGUUUAACGACUAUAAUAAUAUUCACAAAAAAAAAACUAUUAUUUUUAUUGUCAAUAAUAAUUUAACGAAAGCACCUAAUCACACAUCAAACACAAUAUGGUUUAAAAUCAACAAUAUGGAACCACCAGAAGAGGACUUGCGCAGAUGAAUUCAAACUUGUGUUAUAACAAUGAAUAAAUACUUUUUUUCAACACUAGGAUAGCUACCUAGCUUAGAAAAAAACCUGUUCUCGUCAUUGAAAAAAAUCUCAAACAUUUUUAAGUUUUUUUUAUUGAACAUAGCUGAAAUUUCGAAAAGACGAGUUUUAAAUGGUACCUACUUAGAUGAACGUCGAGAACUCAUUAAAAUUUAAAACAACUGGCCAGUGUAUUGCUUAGCGUAUUGUCGAUUUCAAACAAAAAAAAAAUCAAACAAAUCUUCAUGUGUAUCUAGUAUCUAGAAUCUUUACACUAAAUCAACGGAUUAAGACAACCGCAGCAAC